RNAcentral lists this transfer RNA (57 nucleotides) under Sus scrofa (pig). It matches the Rfam family "tRNA", at positions 9 to 63 of the family's 71-position model. Rfam says of the family: Transfer RNA (tRNA) molecules are approximately 80 nucleotides in length. The record is from Rfam by way of RNAcentral. Lineage: Eukaryota; Metazoa; Chordata; Mammalia; Artiodactyla; Suidae.
AGUCUAGUGGCUAAGGACUCCUGGUUUUCAAUCAGGCUGCCCAGGUUCAAUUCCUGA